GGAUGAUAUUGAUGAUGAAAUGUCUUACGAUGAUCAUUUAGAGGUUUAUUUUGAACAACUGGCAAUUCCACGAAUGAUGGAAUAAAACAUAUGAAGUAGAAGGACUGGAACCUCCAGAAAAAGUACUUUAAGUUACCUACAGGUGAUCCUAGUCAGAUCAACCAGUGGCUAGCAUUUGCCACCUUUUGCAGUUUCUUUCUCUUUCCAUAAGUACUUUCUUCUCUGAAUCAUUUGAAAGCAAAUGAAAACAGUAGCCUAAAGUGUCAGUUUCAACCAGAAAAUAACAGCUCUGAUUUCUCAUGGCUCACACUCUUCUGAAACGACUCGGGUAGAGGCUGAGGAAGGCCGUGUUGUUUGUCUACCUGGGACUACACCUACUGAAAGAAGUUCUCAAGUUCUGACUGAGUUCUAAAAUUUUUUGAAGAUUAGAAUUCUUCAUAUGAAACAAUCAUAACAAGAAUAAGAAGCAAGCCGGGUGCGGUGGCUCAUGCCUGUAAUUCCAGCACUUUGGGAGGCCGAGCUGGGAGGAUCACUUGAGCCCAGGAGUUUGAGACCAACCUGGGUAACAUAAUGAGACCUUACAAAAAAAAAUAAAAUUAAAUUUCAAAAACAUAAUUAGAUACCAGUGUAUCCCCAGCAGAUUGACACAAAUUAAAAGUCAACAGUAUCCUGUGUUGGUGAAGACAUACAGCAACUGGAAGUCUCCUGUGCAUGUUAGCCAUGUUUAUACCUUUCAUCUCAGCAGUUUCACUCUUAACGAUAUAUGCUAGAGAAACUCUUACUCAUGUGCUCCACAGACAGGUAGGAG
Molecule: long non-coding RNA, 808 nt
Filed under: Homo sapiens (human)
Lineage: Eukaryota; Metazoa; Chordata; Mammalia; Primates; Hominidae
Description: HSALNT0331332
Source: RNAcentral